AGUGAACGUUGGCGGUAGGCCUAACACAUGCAAGUCGAACGGCAGCACAGUAAGAGCUUGCUCUUACGGGUGGCGAGUGGCGGACGGGUGAGGAAUACAUCGGAAUCUACUUUUUCGUGGGGGAUAACGUAGGGAAACUUACGCUAAUACCGCAUACGACCUACGGGUGAAAGCAGGGGAUCUUCGGACCUUGCGCGAUUGAAUGAGCCGAUGUCGGAUUAGCUAGUUGGCGGGGUAAAGGCCCACCAAGGCGACGAUCCGUAGCUGGUCUGAGAGGAUGACCAGCCACACUGGAACUGAGACACGGUCCAGACUCCUACGGGAGGCAGCAGUGGGGAAUAUUGGACAAUGGGCGCAAGCCUGAUCCAGCCAUACCGCGUGGGUGAAGAAGGCCUUCGGGUUGUAAAGCCCUUUUGUUGGGAAAGAAAAGCAGCAGGUUAAUACCCCGCUGUUCUGACGGUACCCAAAGAAUAAGCACCGGCUAACUUCGUG
This 492-nucleotide ribosomal RNA is filed under the name uncultured bacterium. RNAcentral's name for it is "partial 16S ribosomal RNA". It matches the Rfam family "Bacterial small subunit ribosomal RNA", at positions 29 to 507 of the family's 1533-position model. The record is from RNAcentral.